GACAGAGGUGCCAAGCGUUAGGCGGAAUCACUGGGCUUAAAGCGUGUGUAGGCGGAUCGUUAAGUACCUUGUGAAAUCCCACGGCUCAACCGUGGAACUGCUCGGUAUACUGGCGGUCUUGAGCCACCUAGGGGCAACUGGAACAAGCGGUGGAGCGGUGAAAUGCGUAGAUAUUGGGAAGAACACCGAUGGCGAAGGCAGCCAUCUGGACCGACACUGACGCUGAGGCGCGAAAGCGUGGGGAGCAAACAGG
RNAcentral lists this ribosomal RNA (253 nucleotides) under uncultured bacterium. RNAcentral describes it as "partial 16S ribosomal RNA". It matches the Rfam family "Bacterial small subunit ribosomal RNA", at positions 524 to 776 of the family's 1533-position model. The record is from RNAcentral.